Molecule: long non-coding RNA, 3512 nt
Filed under: Olea europaea subsp. europaea
Lineage: Eukaryota; Viridiplantae; Streptophyta; Magnoliopsida; Lamiales; Oleaceae
Source: RNAcentral
UAAUAAACUCAAAGAGAGUUCAAUAUGCAGAGUAUGUCUACAUGAACUGAUUCUUACUUCAAAUGUUUGAACACUAAGCAUUACUUUUACAUAAUGCAUGAAAUACAACUUCCAGUUCAUUCGUAUGAUUCUCCUUCAGGCUUACUGAAAGUGAAAUUUUAUUCAAUAUUUUUUUACUCAAAGGGAAGUACAAUUGCAAAACAAUAGAAAACUUGUAUAUAAACCGAGUAAAAAUCAAAAGGAUGAAUAAUUUUCUUUUAAAAAACCUUACUAAACAAGGACUAUACAUCUAGAAUCAUCAAUCUCAAUAACUAUGAACCUAAGGCAACAAAAAAUGUAAAACUUUUUACUCUUCAAACAAAGUUUCACAAAACUAAAACAUAUAGAAAGAAGAAAUAGAACACUUAAACAUGGUCAGAGAAGAAAUAGAAAGACUAUACACCAUAAAGUAAAGCAAAUAUAAAACCACUUCAAGCUUUGAAGAAACUACUAGACAAAUCCAUAGGAACACAAAUGAAAUUGAAAAGUGACAAACAUAUAGGAAAAAAAAUACAAAACUCGAAAAAUGUAUACCCUUUAAACAAGAGAUGAACGUACUUGAGGUUGGCACGAUCCACUGUGCAUAGGUUAUCUGAAAGAAUUACAAAGCUUUGAACAAAGGUAGAAGAAAAAGGCAGGUUGCUACAAUCCACUUCGUAUCAAGAAAUUUCCUUUUGUUGUACAAUUCGCGUGGAAAUUUUCUUAGAUUUUACAAAAGGGAGUCAAAUAAGAAGAAAACAUAAAAUCAGACGAUUAAAGGUAAGAAAAUAAAAUGGUCACCAACAAUUCACAAAAAGAGAAAAGGGAUAUUCUGAAGAUUCAAUUUUGUCGACUGUAAAUGAGAUUUGUAGGCAAUUUCGUCAAGGGUUUUCUGUAGAUAUAUUAAGGGUUCUUCGAAUAUUUGAGAAGAAGAAAUCGAGGUCUCAAAGAAAGAUAUAGGUAACAACAGUGAAAUGCUACUUUCCCAUAUCUAUCUAUACACUUGUAGAUAUAUACCAAAUAGUAAAAAACGAGAAAGUUAACAGUAGUGAACCAAUUUAGGUGUGAACUGGAGGUUUCAAGAAUGAACAGUAAAUUGGGAUUCACUCUUUUAAAGCAGAGGGGAUUACUUCAAAUAUUUGAACAUUAAGAAUUACCUUUACAUAAUGCAUGAAAUACAACUUCCAGUUCAUUCGUAUGAUUCUCCUUCAGGCUUACUAAAAGUGAAACUUUAUUUAAACAAUUUUUUCCUGAAAAGGAAGUACAACUGUAAAACAAUAGAAAACUUGUACAUAAACUGAGCAGAAAUCUAAAAGAUGAAUAAUUUUCUUUUAAUAAACAUUACUAAGCAAAGACUAUAUAUCUAUGGCAACAGAAAUGCAAAAUAUUUUACUCCCUAACCAAAGUUUCCCAAAGCUAAAACAAAAAGAAAGAAGAAAUAGAACACUUAAAAUAUAGUCAGAGAAAAAAUCAAAAGACUAUACGCCAUAAAGUAAAGCAGAUAUAGAACAACUUUAAUUUUUGAAGAAAUUACCACAAAAAUCCAUAGGAACACAAAUGGGAAUUGAAAAGUGACAAACAAACAGUAACAAAAAUACGAAACUCGAAAAUCGUGGACAAGGAUAAACAAGAGAAUAACGUACUUGAGGUCAGCAUGAUCCACUUUGUGUGGGUUUCUGAAAGAAUCUCAAAUCUCCAAACAAAGGUAGAAGGAAAAGGUAGAUGGCUACAGUGUACUUCAUGUCAAGAAAUCCCCUUAUGUUGUCCACUUUGGGUGGAAAUAUUAUCAGAUUUUACGAAAGGAAGUCGAAUAAGAAGAAAACACAAUCAAACGAUUAAUAGUAAGAAAAAAAAAUCGUUACCAACAAUUCACAAAAAGAGAAAAAGAAUAUUCAGAAGAUUCAAUUUCAUCGACUGUAAAUGAGAUUUGUAGGCAAUUUCGUUGAGGAUUUUCUAUAGAUAUAUUAGGGGUUCUUCAAAUAUUUGAGAAGAGAAGAAGAAAUCAAAGUCUCAAAGAAAUAUAUGGGUAACGACAGUGAAAAGCUGCUUUCCUAUAUCUAUCUAUACCACUUGUAGAUAUUUACCAAACAACAAAAAAUGAGAUAGUGAACAGUAGUGAACCAAUUUAGGUAUGAAUUAGAGGUUUGAAGAAUGAAUGGUAAAUUGGGAUUCCUUUAAAUAUUUAAACACUAAGAAUUACUUUUACAUAAUGCAUGAAAUACAAAUUUCAGUUCAUUCUUAUGAUUCUCCUUCAAGCUUAUUGAAAGUGAAAUUGUAUUUAACAGUUUUUUCUUCAAAGGGAAGUACAACUGUAAAACAAUAGAAAAUUUGAACAUAAACCGAGUAGAAAUCAAAAGAAUGAAAAAUUUUCUUUUAAAAAGACCUUAUUAAACAAAGACUAUACAUUUAGAAUCAUCAAUCUCAAUAACUAUGAACCUAAGGCAACAUAAAUGUAAAAUUUUUUACUCCCUAAACAAAGUUUUACAAAGCUAAAACAUAUAGAUAGGAGAAAUAAAACAGUUAAACAUAGCCAAAGAAGAAAUUAAAAGACUAUACACCGUAAAUUAAAGUAAAUAUAAAACCACUUCAAGUUUUGAAGAAACUACCACACAAAUUUGUAGGAACACAAUCAGGAAUUGAAAAGUGACAAACAGGAACAAAAAUACGAAACUCGAUAAACGUAUUCAAGGAUAAACAAGAGACUAACGUACUUGAGGUUAGCACGAUACACUUUAUGUGGAUUUUCUGAAAGAAUCGCAAAUCUUCAAACAAAGGUGGAAGAAAAAAGUAGAUCGCUACAGUCCACUUCGCGUCAAGAAAUCCCCUUUUGUUGUCCAACUCAUGUGGAAAUGUUCCUAGAUUUUACGAAAGGAAGUUGAAUGAGAAGAAAACACAAAAUAAUGAUUAAUAGUGAGAAAAUAAAAUCGUCACCAACAAUUCAUAAAAAGAGAAAGGAUAUUCUGAAGAUUCGAUUUCGUCAACUGUAAAUGACAUUUGCAGGCAAUUUCGUCAAGGGUUUUUGUAGAUAUAGUAGGGGUUCCUUGAAUAUUUGAGAAGAGAAGAAGAAAUCGAGAUCUUAAAGAAAGAUAUGGGUAACAACAGUGAAAAGCUACUUUCCCAUGUCUAUCUAUACCGCUUGAAGAUAUACUAAACAGCAAAAAAUGAGAUAGUGAACACUAGUAAACCAGUUUAGGUGUGAAUUGGAGGUUUCAAGAAUGAACAGUAAAUUGUGAUUCACUCUUUUAUAGUAGAGGGGAUAUAUAGAUGGCCAGCUUGCUUUAGUCCCAUAAUAUUGUUUUUCAGUCUUGAUAGAUCACCCAACUCCCAUAUGCAGUAACAAAAUCAUUGAAGUUGAAACAUCAUAUAAUCAAAAUCUUGUACAAAAACUUAAAUUUCAUUUGGUUUUUCUUUAAAUCUGCCAACAAGAAAAUUUUAGUAAUUUCAAUCUCGUCACAUCUCUCUCUACAAAAGUGAUACUAUUCUAUAGAUCUACU